GCGGUCGUAGCUCAGCUGGAUAGAGCACGAGAUUCCUAAUCUCGGGGUCGUGGGUUCGAUUCCCUCCGAUCGCACCA
Molecule: transfer RNA, 77 nt
Filed under: Holosporaceae bacterium
Lineage: Bacteria; Pseudomonadati; Pseudomonadota; Alphaproteobacteria; Holosporales; Holosporaceae
Description: tRNA-Arg
Rfam family: tRNA
About the family: Transfer RNA (tRNA) molecules are approximately 80 nucleotides in length. Their secondary structure includes four short double-helical elements and three loops (D, anti-codon, and T loops). Further hydrogen bonds mediate the characteristic L-shaped molecular structure. tRNAs have two regions of fundamental functional importance: the anti-codon, which is responsible for specific mRNA codon recognition, and the 3' end, to which the tRNAs corresponding amino acid is attached (by aminoacyl-tRNA synthetases). tRNAs cope with the degeneracy of the genetic code in two manners: having more than one tRNA (with a specific anti-codon) for a particular amino acid; and 'wobble' base-pairing, i.e. permitting non-standard base-pairing at the 3rd anti-codon position.
Source: RNAcentral